Molecule: ribosomal RNA, 128 nt
Filed under: Russula sp.
Lineage: Eukaryota; Fungi; Basidiomycota; Agaricomycetes; Russulales; Russulaceae
Description: partial large subunit ribosomal RNA
Rfam family: Eukaryotic large subunit ribosomal RNA
Source: RNAcentral
CGGGAAAAGCUCAAAUUUAAAAUCUGGUGGCCUUUGGCCAUCCGAGUUGUAAUUUAGAGAAGCGUCUUCCGCGCUGGACCGUGCACAAGUCUCCUGGAAUGGAGCGUCAUAGAGGGUGAGAAUCCCGU